GUGGCUGUAGCUCAGCUGGAAGAGUCCCGGAAUGUGACUCCGGUGGUCGUGGGUUCGAGGCCCAUCAGCCACC
Molecule: transfer RNA, 73 nt
Filed under: Candidatus Burkholderia crenata
Lineage: Bacteria; Pseudomonadati; Pseudomonadota; Betaproteobacteria; Burkholderiales; Burkholderiaceae
Description: tRNA-His
Rfam family: tRNA
About the family: Transfer RNA (tRNA) molecules are approximately 80 nucleotides in length. Their secondary structure includes four short double-helical elements and three loops (D, anti-codon, and T loops). Further hydrogen bonds mediate the characteristic L-shaped molecular structure. tRNAs have two regions of fundamental functional importance: the anti-codon, which is responsible for specific mRNA codon recognition, and the 3' end, to which the tRNAs corresponding amino acid is attached (by aminoacyl-tRNA synthetases). tRNAs cope with the degeneracy of the genetic code in two manners: having more than one tRNA (with a specific anti-codon) for a particular amino acid; and 'wobble' base-pairing, i.e. permitting non-standard base-pairing at the 3rd anti-codon position.
Source: RNAcentral